This 253-nucleotide ribosomal RNA is filed under the name uncultured bacterium. Its description in RNAcentral is "partial 16S ribosomal RNA". It matches the Rfam family "Bacterial small subunit ribosomal RNA", at positions 524 to 776 of the family's 1533-position model. The record is from RNAcentral.
GACGUAGGGGGCCAGCGUUGUUCGGAAUUACUGGGUGUAAAGGGUUCGUAGGCGGUGUGGCAAGUUGGGAGUGAAAUCUCUGGGCCCAACCCAGAGGCUGCUUCCAAAACUGCCGUGCUAGAGUGUGAGAGAGGCGAGUGGAAUUGCGGGUGUAGCGGUGAAAUGCGUAGAUAUCCGCAGGAACAUCCGAGGCGAAAGCGGCUCGCUGGAUCACAACUGACGCUGAGGGACGAAAGCUAGGGGAGCAAACAGG